This 3026-nucleotide long non-coding RNA is filed under the name Androctonus crassicauda. Lineage: Eukaryota; Metazoa; Arthropoda; Arachnida; Scorpiones; Buthidae. The record is from RNAcentral.
UAGAAUUUUGAUAGUUUUGGUCAUAUUCUUUUUUAUGCAUUUCAUUUAUUUAUUGCAUUAAGCAUAUUGCGCAUGCAAGGAUUGUUGUCAUUUGCUUGAACAUUAUAUUAUAGAUCUGAAAUGAAAGUUUAAAAAUGUUUACAAGUUGCUAAGCAUUACUCCUCUCUUAAUGUUUUCAUUGCUGUUAAAUAUUUAAAAUAUAUUAAUUAUUUUUUGUUAGUUUCAAAGUUAGUGGCAUAUUUGAUGUUAUUGCCAUUCUACUUUAUUAAAAUACAAGUAUUUUAAUUUUAAAAUUAAUCAGUAUUGUUGGUAUUAUAAUUGUAUUUUGGGAAAUUCAUCAUAUGAUUUAGAAGCAUAAGAUGACUGCCUGAAAUACUUCUGUUAGUAGUAGUGACUCAGUCAUUGCUUUAUUAUAAAUAAAAACAUCAUAUGCAACUGUGAUUUUCAAAAUAACAAUUUCAUUUUUAUGGAAUAUCAAUAAAACAAAAUUAAUUUCUGGUAAUCCCAAAGAAAUUGUUGACUUUGAAUGAAAUAAGGCAAGUUUUUACUGACUUCUCUUUCCAAUAAAACUAGCGACAAUUAAAAACUAAAUAUGUUAUAAAAUAUUACUUAACUUUCAUCUGUUGUAUUACCAGUAAUGCUACUUAGGUGUGUAGUACAUGCUUGGAGAGAAUCAACUUUAAAUGCUGCUGUAUUGUUGCAAUUUAUAAAAAAAAACUUAAUACAAAUCUCUAGCAUCUGCCACCCAUAAAAUUUUCUCGGAAUAUCUGUAUUUUAUCAUGUGUAUUAACAUUGCAAUUUUAACAUUGACACAUAUUGCUAUGUUUCUUCUUUCAGCUCAUAAAAUAUUGAACACAAGUGUUGAUGGGAAUAGUCAUUUUAGGAGACGCCUUUCAAACACUCAAAUUGCCACAGUUGUUAUUGUAAAUAAUUGUUGAUUGUUUUCAGAGGUUUAUUCUAUUCUUCAACACUUGUGACAAAAGCUGCCACAUGGAUUUUAAUGAGUGCUUAGCACUUGAUUUUGGUAGUGUGAUAAGAUACGCUCAAGAGAUAAUGCUGUGUAGCUGCUAUGUGGCACGCUUGCAAUUCAUACCAUUUGACUGUAAAUCAAGAAAUGUGCUGUUUUCCAGUUUUUAUUAUUAUUUAUAUAUUUUUUUUUUUUUUAAUUUUGUCCCAUUCAUAUAAGUUUUGAAUGUGUUUUUAACUUUGUCUGUACUAUCUGUACAAAAAGAUGAUGUACAAAUGCUCAAUGCAGUAUACCAAUAUAAUUUCUCAAUGUGUAGAAUCAUCACUUGAGAUAAUCAGUUUAAAGAUAUUUAAUGUAAUCAGUAAUAUUGUUAAUACUCUAGAAAAAUUAAUGCUCUGUAGUAAACAAAUAGAUAUUUCUUUUAAAAAGUUUUAAUGUUUGAAACCAAAUGCUGCUAAAAGAUUCUUUAUUGACAGUUUUUGGUGACUAUAAUAGAUAGAACAUUUUAAAUGUUCUUUGACUUACUAUGCUGUUAGUUAACAGAGAAUAGUGAUUUCUCUCAUAUUGUAAAAAUUUCAUUGUGUUGAAAUUUUAAACUGUAAAAAUUAAAAAAUUACAGAAAUCUGAUUAUUAGCCUAAAGUAUAUACAUAAAAUUUAAUUGGACAAAAAAAAUCUUUCAAAACUAUUCUGCACGAUUCUGAAAAAAUGACAUCGUCUUCCUAUCAGAAUAAUGACUAUGGUGAAGACAAUAAAUCUAUGUACAAUCUACAUAUUAGGUAUUUGAGUAAGAUUUCUGUAAAUAUUUUAGGCUAUCAUUCAGUUUCUGUCCAAUGAUCAAUAUUGCUUCAUCCAUUUUCUUAUCGUAUAUUCAGCUAAUUAUAUUUGCUGAUUCAAACAAAAAAUACUCCAUUUAUAAUUUCUUCCUUUGUUAUAAAAUGUCUAGUCAUAUUGCACAUUGUUCUUUGUUUCUUUACCCUUCUACAAAUGGUGUAUAAUUCCCAUCCCUUUUGUUAUCGAUAUAUAUAUAUAUAUACAUAUAUAUAUAUACACACAUAUAUAUCAGUGUAGUAUAUGAUAUACUAUACAAAUAAUUGCAGUGCCGAAUGGAGCUGUAAUUGUAGAAUUUCAGAUAUUUAUCUAUAUUUAUUUUAUGGGUCCAUUCCUUGUAAAUAUUUAGUUAAAAUAUAUAUACAAAAAUUAAAUUCCAUAUUUUUGAAGCGCAAAAAAUGGAGUGUUCAUAAACGGGUGUGCCUCAUAAGAGAAAGAAUUGAAUAAAAAUCCUCAGUUCCUGUGAAUUGAAAAAUAUUUGCCUCCAUGGAAUAAAUUUUAUUUUAAAAUUGUGAAUAAGUUGAAAUUUUUUGUAAUAUGUUUAUUUGGCAUCAAUAUAUUUUAGAAUGAAAUAUAUUUUCAAUUUGUUAUUUCUAAAUCGUAUAGUUUAAAGAACAUAUAGCUUUAAAAAAUUAUAUGUUCUUUUUAAACUAAUACAAUAAAAAUCUUAAUAAUUUUAUGCAAAAUGUGUAAUUUUGUAUUCUCAAUUUUUAAUUUUGUAAAAUUUUAUUUAAAUAAUUGUUUACAAUGUUAAAUAUGAAAGAAGUAUGAUAUACAUUGUAAAAACAAAUCAGCAAUAGUUCUAUAAUCUCAGUAUUCUUUACUGUUCUAUAUUGUGCAAUGAACAUUUUAGUUUUAGUAAACAGAAAUUUUUAAUUCUCUCUCAUCUAUUCACUUAAUAUAAUUGUACACAAUCCGGAUAAAUACAGUGCAUGGCAUGGCAGAACUAAUUCAUCUUGCAGUGCCUUGAUGUAUCAAUGCCCUGUUCCUUACCCAUUUUAUCACCUAAUUAAAAUGUUCAUAUCUUCUUUAAUCCAUAAUUUUUUUUAAUCUGAAUAAAGUCAUACUCAAAAUAAAUUUUGAUUAUUAUUAACAAUUUAUAGUAUAUUUUUAUCUUUUUUUACUGUAAGAGAGAUAAUCUAAAGCAAAACAAUAAAUUAAUAGUGACUAUUUCUGAAAUAAUUAUUUAUAAAAUAAUUCUAAAUAUUAAUUAAUUGAAUUAAGUUUCAA